Molecule: ribosomal RNA, 824 nt
Filed under: uncultured Cellulophaga sp.
Lineage: Bacteria; Pseudomonadati; Bacteroidota; Flavobacteriia; Flavobacteriales; Flavobacteriaceae
Description: bacterial SSU rRNA
Rfam family: Bacterial small subunit ribosomal RNA
Source: RNAcentral
CUAGCGGCAGGCCUAACACAUGCAAGUCGAGGGGUAACAGGGAGCUUGCUCCGCUGACGACCGGCGCACGGGUGCGCAACGCGUAUGCAAUCUACCUCUUACUAAGGGAUAGCCCAGAGAAAUUUGGAUUAAUAUCUUAUGUGAUAUGUGACUGGCAUCGGUUACAUAUUAAAGGUUACGGUAAGAGAUGAGCAUGCGUCUCAUUAGUUAGUUGGUAAGGUAACGGCUUACCAAGACUUCGAUGAGUAGGGGUCCUGAGAGGGAGAUCCCCCACACUGGUACUGAGACACGGACCAGACUCCUACGGGAGGCAGCAGUGAGGAAUAUUGGACAAUGGACGGAAGUCUGAUCCAGCCAUGCCGCGUGUAGGAAGACUGCCCUAUGGGUUGUAAACUACUUUUAUACAGGAAGAAUAAGAUCUACGUGUAGAUUGAUGACGGUACUGUAAGAAUAAGGACCGGCUAACUCCGUGCCAGCAGCCGCGGUAAUACGGAGGGUCCGAGCGUUAUCCGGAAUUAUUGGGUUUAAAGGGUCCGUAGGCGGGCUGUUAAGUCAGAGGUGAAAUGCUGCGGCUCAACCGUAUGCACUGCCUUUGAUACUGGCGGUCUUGAGUUAUAGUGAAGUGGCUAGAAUAAGUAGUGUAGCGGUGAAAUGCAUAGAUAUUACUUAGAAUACCGAUUGCGAAGGCAGGUCACUAACUAUACACUGACGCUGAUGGACGAAAGCGUGGGUAGCGAACAGGAUUAGAUACCCUGGUAGUCCACGCCGUAAACGAUGGAUACUAGCUGUUCGGUUUUCGGACUGAGCGGCCAAGCGAAAGUGAU